CUGAGUUCUGGGUCUAACCGACCCGACCUCCAACCCUUUGUUGUCCGACUCUGUUGCCUCGGGGGCGACCCUGACCUCCGGGUCUCCGGUCCCCCGGUGGACAUUCAAACUCUGUUUUAAUUUGUCGUCCGAGUAAAUUGAUUAAAUCAUAUCA
This 154-nucleotide unclassified non-coding RNA is filed under the name uncultured fungus. RNAcentral's name for it is "sequence contains ITS1". Lineage: Eukaryota; Fungi. The record is from RNAcentral.